AGUGAACGCUGGCGGCGUGCCUAAUACAUGCAAGUCGAACGGAGUGGCGCACGGGUGGGUAGUGUAUUGCUAAUCUGCCCUGCACUCGAGGCCACCAGGUGGGAAAGGCUGCUAAUACUCUAUCUUGUAGGAUGGGUCUAUAUUGUAUCAGCUAGUUGGUGAGGUAAUGGCGCACCGAGGGUAUGACGCAUAACUGGUCUGAGAGGAUGAGCAGUCAAACUGGAACUGAGACACCGUCCAGACUCCUACGGGAGGGAGCAGUAGGGUAUAUUGCUCAAUGGGGGAAACCGUGAAGGAGCAUCGCCGCGUGGAGGAUGACACUUUGCGGAGCGUAAACUCCUUUUGAUAGGGAAGCGGUACCUAACGAAUAAGCAACGGCUAACUCCGUGCCAGCCGCCGCGGUAAUUC
RNAcentral lists this ribosomal RNA (408 nucleotides) under uncultured bacterium. RNAcentral describes it as "partial 16S ribosomal RNA". It matches the Rfam family "Bacterial small subunit ribosomal RNA", at positions 29 to 526 of the family's 1533-position model. The record is from RNAcentral.